RNAcentral lists this ribosomal RNA (450 nucleotides) under uncultured bacterium. Its description in RNAcentral is "partial 16S ribosomal RNA". It matches the Rfam family "Bacterial small subunit ribosomal RNA", at positions 338 to 795 of the family's 1533-position model. The record is from RNAcentral.
CCUACGGGUGGCUGCAGUAAGGAAUAUUGGUCAAUGGACGGAAGUCUGAACCAGCCAUCCCGCGUGCAGGAAGAAGGUCCUAUGGAUUGUAAACUGCUUUUAGCAGAGACGAAACGCCUUCAUUUAUGGGGGUUUGACGGUAUCUGCGGAAUAAGCACCGGCUAACUCCGUGCCAGCAGCCGUGGUAAUACGGAGGGUGCAGGAAUCAUCCGGUAUCACUGGGUUUAAGGGGUGCGUAUAAGGCAGUUUGGAAAGCCUGUAGCUUAACUACAGAAUUGCCAUUGAUACUGAUUUUCUUGAAUUGGGUUGAGGUUAGCGGAAUGUGACAUGUAACGGUGAAAUGUUUAGAUAUGUCAUGGAACACCGAUUGCGAAGGCAGCUAGCUGGGCCUUGAUUGACGCUGAGGCACGAAAGCGUGGGUAGCGAACAGGAUUAGAUACCCCGGUAGUC